CCUACGGGUGGCAGCAGUGAGGAAUAUUGGUCAAUGGGCGAGAGCCUGAACCAGCCAAGUCGCGUGAGGGAAGACGGUCCUAUGGAUUGUAAACCUCUUUUGUCGGGGAGCAACGGGGCAGUGUUGUGCCCUCUGAGAGUACCCGAAGAAAAAGCAUCGGCUAACUCCGUGCCAGCAGCCGCGGUAAUACGGAGGAUGCGAGCGUUAUCCGGAUUUAUUGGGUUUAAAGGGUGCGUAGGCCGAAGAUUAAGUCAGUGGUAAAAUUGCGGGGAUAAACCUCGUAGCGCCAUUGAAACUGGUUGUAGUGAGUGGGCGAGAAGGAGGUGGAAGGCGUGGUGUAGCGGUGAACGGCAUAGAUAUCACGCAGAA
RNAcentral lists this ribosomal RNA (369 nucleotides) under uncultured bacterium. RNAcentral's name for it is "partial 16S ribosomal RNA". It matches the Rfam family "Bacterial small subunit ribosomal RNA", at positions 338 to 706 of the family's 1533-position model. The record is from RNAcentral.